Molecule: long non-coding RNA, 11122 nt
Filed under: Lotus japonicus
Lineage: Eukaryota; Viridiplantae; Streptophyta; Magnoliopsida; Fabales; Fabaceae
Description: long non-coding RNA (LJAP_LNC002140)
Source: RNAcentral
UGAGGAUUACUUUGUCUCACCUUGAUGGACCGAAAUACACCACAUAACAUUUUCAUAAAUAGAUACAUAUUUAAUAUGUUCCCGAUGAUUAACUCAAGUAGUAAGAGUUAUGAGACAUAAGGGUUGGGUGGGAUGAAGGGGAAGGGUCUCGGGUUCAACCGGUUGGAUGACCUUCAGCUAGCUCUUUUCAAAUAUAUGCAGUGAUAAUGUAACUUUUUUUCUACCGUUAACUAAUCAGGUUUUAAAGAUAUGAGUAAAACAAUUUUUUAACUAAUUGAUGUCAUACAUAUUCAAAAUUUUAUUGGUUGAUAGUGUAAAAAACAUAUAAGUGCAUCAAAAUUAAACUCAUAAGUUAGGCUUUAAGUUUUUUGUAAAUAAGUUUGACCUACUUAAGAAUGAAUGUUUAAGAGCAUCUUCAUCCCUAACAUCUUAACUAAUGGUUCUUAACACUAUUCACGUAGGCUCAAAGUGCAACGUAGACUCUAAGCAACUCAUAUGCAAUUGAUGUAAAUUUCACUCCAAUCACGAGUUUUUAACUUUGAGUUCUUAGCACUAUUCUCUAGCAUAGCACCACAUUAUUUAUAUGUUUUAUUUUGAUAAAGCAGUAAAGUAAAGAUCAUAAAGCAAUAAAACAAUCUAGAUGAGAGACGAAAAUAUAUUUUAUGCUAAGAAUUUAUAAAGCAAAAUUCUUUGGCCAAGAACUGGUUCUUAGAUUUAAGAAUUAAGAACUCCACAUCAGCCUUCUUCAAUGCUUAAGAACAUGGUUCUUAAUUCUUAAUUAAUAUAAAAAAAUUACUUCUAAAAAUUAGGGUUAUGGAGUUGCUUUAAGCUUAAGUUGUUACUUGUCAUAGGAUUUUUUAGGCUUUGAUCUGAUUUUCUCGAAAGACCGACCUGACAGGGUAGUCUACAUCUCAGGGUGUGUUUGUUUUUCAGUUGGGGCAUCCAAAAGUACUUUCAGGUCUUAUGUAACUUUGUAUCACUAUGUUUGGCAAAUUAAAAACCACACUCACCCAACCCACUUUUAACCCCAACCUAACUUUCAUCUCAACUCUCCAAAUUGUCACUUCUACAUUCAUCCAACAUACUUUCAACCCCAAACUCUAUUUUGAAAUAAAAGUAUCCAAACAUAAAUCACAUUACAACUAACUCACUUUGAUUCAAACUCUGUUUUGUAAACUCACAUUCACUCAAAUUUUAUUUUGCAAACUGAAAUCCAAACACACACUCACUAGCUAGACCAAUGUGGAAAUAAACCAAGCUUAUAAGUUAAUUAGCUAAAAUAUACUACACCAAUUUUGGUGUAAAUAAUCAGUAGGAUUAUAUGCCUUUUUCUUCUCAUAUAGGCCUUCCAUAUUUCAUUUCCCAGUGAAGCUUCCUGUCUUUUUUAACGUAUUAACUUCCUCAAAUGUUAUGGCAUAAUUCAUUGACUUGACGUCAACCUUGUACAAUUGCACAUAAUUAAGUACUCCAUUCAUUGUAUGGCCUGUGUUUUUCUUCAUCGAUGGUGUCUUAUAUACAUUUAUGAUGAUCCAUGACUGAAAGGGAGUGCAUAAAAAAUUUGAGUGGUGGUCUAAUUUUGGGGAGGGUAUUGUUAUUGAGAAUUGUUAUUCAAACCCCCUCACAGUUAUUCAGAUCCUCUUUAAAUGUGUAAAAAUACUAAAAUGCCCUUAAUAAAAAAAUAUAAAAAAUUCUCACUCACAUUCUCUCCCUCUCUCCUUACCUCUUUCUUCCACCACCCACCACCUCCGCUGCCACCACCACCGCCGCCACCACCGCCACCACCUCCGUCACCACCACCACCACCAUCACCACGAGUGGCGGAACUUCAACAAAAUUACUGGGGGAGCUCAAAUAAAUUUAAAUAUAUAAAUUUCGAAAUAUUUUGUUAACAGGAAAAAAGUAUUUCAUAGUGAAUUAAAAGUCAUUUAGUCUAAGUACAUAAGUAUUUUAAUUUAUAUAUUGAUAUCAUAUACUAAAAUCCAAAUCACAUAAAGUGUUGCUAACCAUAAUGAAAUAACUGAAUUUCCUUAAGUAAAGUAGCAUAAUCAAAGUCUUGAGCCAAUGACUAUGAGCGUGAGAAGUGAGAAAGAUGAAGUUUUCAAAGUGCAAAUCCAAAAAGUAAAGUUAAAGUGAGCUUUUGUCAAUUGUGUUCAGAAAGUACUAAAAUAUUAGUAUUUUAUUUUUUUUAUAAACUUGUUGGGUAAGUCUCCUACUUUUUCUCCUUUUUCUGAUAUUAUGAGUCUAUGACGUUUUUUUAAAGAAUUUGGUACUUGAGUCGGUGACAUUGACAUGAGUUUUAUUAGUUUUAAUUUUUUUUGUGUGUAUUAAAUUACUCUCACAAUUUUAACCCGUGUAUGGUGAAAGUUAAAUAUAUCUUUAAAAAUGGGGCACCUAAGGAUCAAAGACUCAACAUAUAAUUUAACAACUUUUUACCACUGCAACUUACACUUGUUAGAUAUUAUAUAUAUGAUUUUAUAGACUAUAAUAUAUAUCUUAUAUACUAAAAAAAAAUUUGGCCAAAUCUGUGGGGGAGCUACAGCUCCUCUAUGUCAAUCUUAAGGUCCGCCACUGAUCACCACAACACCAACCACCAUAUUCUCCUCUCUAUCUCCUCUUUCCUCUUUCCUCCACCACCACCACCACCACCACCACAACAACAACCUCCAUCUUCUCCUCUCUCUUCUUCUCUCUUCUUUUCUACUGUUAAAGUGUCGUUUUUAGAAUUGUUUUUUUUUUCUACAAUCUAACGCACUUUGAAAGUGCGACCCUAACGCACUUUCAAAGUGAGACAACUGUCUCAUUUUGAAAGUGAGAGAGCACUUUCAUCUGUCUCACUUUCAAAGUGAGACAACUGCCGCACUUUGAAAGUGAGACAACUGUCGCACUUUCAAAGUGAGAGAGGGGUCGCACUUUCCAAAUGCGUUCGACAAGGGUAUUUUUAGAUUUUUGAAAAUGUUUUAGGUCUGAAUAGCUGUGGGGGGUCUGAAUAACAAUUCUCAUUGUUAUUUUAAAAUUAAUCCAUGUCAAUGAAAGAUUAUUGUUGUGGAACAUAUAUUUUCCAGGAAAUCAUUUUCUACGUCCAAAGAUAAAUAAACGAUAAAUAUAUCACCAGUCAAAAAAAUAAACAUUUAGAAAAGAACAUAUCAACUCAAGGAGGAUUUUUUCAUAAUCAAUUAUUUUUCAGGUUUUAUAUAUGCAUAUGAUGCAUAUUAUAUAAUGAAUUGUGCUUUUUUUUUCACAUUUUCUUGUGCUUUUUUUAUAAUGAAUUGUGCAUAUAUAUAUAUAUAUAUAUAUAUAUAUAUAUAUAUAUACGGGAUGUAUCUUAUGAGAAAGGUAAUCUUAUGUGAGAAAAUGAGAAUAAAUCACGACUGUUAGAUCUAACAAUCAACGGUUAAGAUUAAAAGAAUUUAAUGGUCAUGUGAUUGUCACAUGAUCACUUAAAAAAGUCGCAUGACUUAAUGUUUUAAUCUUGACCGUUGAUGGUUAGAUCUAACGGUCGUGAUUUAUUCUCAUUUUCUGACAUAGGAUUACAUUUCUCAUAAGAUACAUCUAUAUAUGCAUAUAUAUAUAUAUAUAUAUAUAUGCAUAUUAUACGCUUUUGUAGAUUGGAUAUUUUGGAGAUACCAUCUAUCAUUUUAGUGUUUGUCAUAGAAUAAUUCAUAUUCCUUGACUAAGUCAAAUUAGUGUAUAAUUUAGGUUGUAACGAGUCAAAUCAUGUCAGUCAUGGAGUUUACGUUCAGCAUAUUAAAUAAAUGAUCCUUUGUAAGGUACCAGAAGCAGAAAAGGACUACUUACUAGAAGGCUUAGUAGCACUUUUGGUCCCUCACGUUUGUCCUAUGUGUGGAAAUCGUCCCCUAAGUAAGAAAAUAGAAAAAGAAUGUCCCUCACUUUGUCAAACGGCAGCGCUUUUGGUCCUUCAUCACUGUUCCGUCAAUAAACUAACGUUUUCUGUCAAAUAUUUAACAUUUUUCCUGAAUAAAAUUGAUAAAAAAAUUAAAAAAAUGAAAACCCAUAAAAUUUAUGAUGUUCUUCAUCAUAGCCAGCAAGUUCUUCAUCUUCCUCAGUUAUUUUCCAGAAAAAUAAGAAAAAACGUGAGGGACCAAACGUAAUUGAUGUUGUUGCUCGAUUCAGGACUGAGAACAAGGAGGAUUUAGGAGGUACUUCAAAUCAACGCUCACAAUUGCGCCAUCGACGCACAAGAUCAAGGCGUGAAAGAGGGAACUGAAAUGGAGAUGCAAACCGAGUUGAUUUUUGAAUGAAACUGCAGAAAUUUCAGAUCUGACUCUCACCCACACUUUGUAUCCCUAAUGCUUGAGAAAUUUCACCUCAAACAAAUCCCUAAUUUUCCAAUGUCUGAUUUGGUGAAAUUUCAGAUCUGAAAAUGGCUGAUUCUCCCUCAACCUCCUUGUUCUCGAUCUCACCCUCCCUCUUUCACCAGUUGACUAAAACCCUUCUGCUCUCUCUCGUGGUGGUCGGAGGUGAUGGAGUGUGUGUUGAUGUCGGUGGGGGAGAGAUAGGCAGUGACACAACUUUUGUGUGUGUGGAAGAAGAAGGUUGGAAGUGUUGGAGAGAUAGUCGAACCCAUGGUUUCUGAGGAACUUUUCUUGGGUUUUUUCAGUGUUAAGAGAUGGUGAGGAAAGAAGCAUAGAGUUUUUCUAGUGUUUUUAGAUAAAGAUGAAAUUGAUGCAGAUUAUGCUGGAAGAAGAUGAUUAUUGAUAUUUUAUGUGUUUACAUUAUUAUUUUAUUUUUAAUUUUUAAUUUUAUUUCUAAAAAUCGUUAAAAUUUGAAUGAAAGUAAACGGAAUAGUGAUGAGGGACCGAAAAUGUUGUCGUUUAACAAAGUGAGGGAUUAUUUUUGCUAUUUUCUUACUUAGGGGACGAUUUUUGCACAUAUGGCAAAUGUGAGGGACCAAAAGUGUUAUUAAGCCUUACUAGAAUGAGUAGAACUCUAGAAGCAAGUAAAGUGUGGAUUGGUCGAUGAGUGGGUUAAGGGGGUAAUGAAAUUCAAAUAAGAAAGAGAAGGAAAAGAAAUGGAAUCCAUAUGUUCUCUAAUAAAUUUGAGUCAGGACUUUGAAAGAGUUUUUUUCAUGAGCCAAAGAAAUUUCAUUCAAACUUAGCACAAGGGGUGCUAAACCCAAAUACAAAGAGGAAAAGAAUGUAGUAGUAAAAUAGCCACCACAAAAAAGAAAAGAAAAUAACAAAUUAGAAAAUCAACAAAAAUGCAAAUAUUAUGAUCAAUUCCACCCACCAAAUAACACACUAACCAUAUGUUUGGUAGAGUAGAGAGAGAUAGAGAAGAGAGAGUAGAGAAGAGAGAAGUUGAGUAGAGAAAAAUAUAUGAGAAAUAGAGUAGAUUUAUAGGUUGUUUGGUAUAAUAUAGAUAAAGAAAAGAGAGAUGAAAAAUAAUGAGGUGGAAGAGUGAGAAAAAAGUAACUUUUGAUUAAAAAACCAUUUUUAAAUACAUAGUUUAUUGUGGUGGGGACCAAAAUGCAGAUAGUGGCGGUUUAGAACCACCACUAACUGCAGAGAAUAAAUAAAAAGUUGAACAUUUGGCCAUCUCUUCGCAAAACGCGAAGACUACAAAAAGCAAGGAAAUUCCACCAUUUAUCUCUCUCUUCUCUACCGUGAUUGGUUACCAAAUAAGGGUGAUUGGUCUAUCUCUCCCCUAUCUCUCUCUCUUCCAUCUCUCUCUCUCUUCAAUCUCACCUCAAACAAACAAAGUGUAAAUAAAAGGCAAACCAAUAACAGUUCACAGCAUCUCAUGGACAGCAGCGUUGCCAUAGCCAAGACUUUCAGGUUCGGAUCCAGAUCUGACAUUGAACUCCUCCUCCAUGGGUUCGUGGAUUUUUGAUUUGGUAGGGAAGGUCAAAGGUGGGAGGGGAGGGAUAUUCAGGUGCGGUAGUUUCUAUCUUCAAACACUUGAGCUUUCGCUCGUGGAUGACAGGAGAAGAAGGCAAAAGCUCGAAAUCGUCAUCGAUCUCCAUGAAAGCACCAACACCAUGGCAGAGAGAAAUAUGAGAUUUCGAACUUGAGCAAGCAGGAGAAAGAGGAAUCGCGUGAGUGAACUUGGUUCGUUGGAGAGUGCUCAGUAUAAUGAAAUAAAAUUAGUGAUGAUGAAAUUUCGUCACUAAUUUCAUGACAAACUUGUAAAACAUGUUUUCCAACGGAUUCAGUGAUGAAAGUAUCUUGUGAAAGAUAAUUUUGUAUCAAAAUCCGUAAGUAUACACAAAAAUGGAAAUUUUAGUUACGAAAUUAGUGAUGAAAUUUUUAGUUACCGAAUUUUCCGUCACUAAUUUUGUCACUAAAUACUUGGAAAACAAAUCCGUAUAUAACAUUUUUAUCAAAUCUGUCAGUCUGUCACUAAAGUCGUAACUAUUAGCUAUGAACUCUAGUCCGUCCCUAAUUUACACUUUUUUAGUAGUGACAUAUGUUCUUAAACAUCUACUCUCAAGUGCAGGUUCGAGCUCAUUAGGUGUUUCUACUUUCUAGUGAAGUAGCUUUAAAUUUUUCAUUGUUAUACCUUCAUAAUGCUUUUAAUUAAUGUCAAUUUCCAUAGUUUGAAUAUUAUUCCGACACUUCUUUUGAAAAUCGAGCAAUCUACUAUAUUCAGGGAAUAUAAAAUUUUGGAGUUAGAAGGUGAAAAAUGCGUUCCUGUAUAUAGAACAAAAAAAAACUGUGAAAAUUCAUUGAUUGAUAAACUAAUAUUUGUCUAUUUCUAAUUUAUGAGAAAAUAUCAAAUUUAAACAUUAAAAGGUAGAAGAGAAGAAAAAAUUUGCUAAAAGGAGAAAUGGGAGGAUAAUUUGGUAAGGUUGUAAUAUAUUUAUAAUCUUAAAUGCUAACCAACUGUUUAACUAUGGUUAAAUAUCGUGGCUGUUGUUCGGAAUGAUUAGCCUGGUUUUUGGUAUUGUUCUGAAAGAUAUCGGCAUUUGGGUUCUUGAUUAAUAUGGCUUCAUUAGUAUUAGAAAUCCUUUAAGUGGAGUUUCUUGCACUUCUUCAUGGGUUACUGAUUUGAUGGGAGCGGGGAUUUCAUUGUGUUGUUGUUCAUACUGAUUUGACCUUAGUUGGUUCUUUGCAUCUUCAAAGGGAGUGUCCCUAAAUUUCAUUAGUAUUCAACUAUCCUAAGUUUGCGCAGGAUUGGAGGGUGUCUUUGCAGCAUAUGUUGUAGAAGGAGAAUACAAAUGACAUAUUUUCUAACUAAGGAUAGGGCGAGAAACACUAGGAGCUUGGUAAUUCAUGAUCAUUCUCUUAAUGGCAUUGAUUCUUACUUGUUUAAGGAUUAUCGUGGCAUCUCUUUGUUGAGGGGCUAGUUUCCUUAUGUUCCUAUUUUUCCUUAUGUUUCUUUUAGCAUUGAUGUAAAAAAAAACUAUGGUUAAGCCAUAGUAAUGGAGAUUAAAACUUAGUGUCUUAUACGAAAAUUUCAAGAUAAUAAAAAAAUAAUUUUCUCUUGAAUUUAUAUGUUAUUAGAUGUUAUAGCUUUUUGUUUUCCGAUGUAGCAAAAAAAUAUGUUAUAGCUUAUUACAUACAAAUUAUAACAAGGAAAAAACUUAAGUACACCACUCUGAGUAUUGUUUAUGUUGUUGCCCAAUGCCCCAAUGAAAAUUUCAGCCAUCCACUUUCUUAAUUUAUUAAUAUAAUAAAUUUUUUUAAUUUUGAUGUCAUGUUAUAAUUGGAUAAUAUUAAAAACUAUAUAAACGAACACUACACCCAAGUUUGCAUUUAUAGUAUUAACCGAUCAAUUUUUAGUUUUUGUCUUUAACAAAUGUAAACUCGUUCAGGCAACUAUUAUAGUCUCUUCCAACAAAUAAUUUUCUUCGUAUCCAAACUUGUGUCAUCUCCCUUGAAAUGGUCUAAUUUGUCUACCAUGAGACCAACUUGGUAACAGAUUAUCUGAUCAACUAAUGAAAAGAAGAUGUUUUCAGUUUUGAAAUUUAUAAAGAAUCUAAUAUUAAAGUGAAGACCAAAUUAAAUUUGAUUUAAUGAGCUAAUUAUAGAUACAACUUGUUCGUUUGUUGCACUUCUCUGUUCUUUCCUCACAGUGGAAAUAAUGGCCAAGAGAAAAAAUCUAAAAAUAGAGAAGGAAUUAUAGAAAGUCAAGAAAGAAAAAUGAGGGGUGGAGCGAGCUAUAGGCUAUAAGGUCCAUGAGAAACGGACCAGUGAAAAUUUGGGCAAACUUUGAAUGGUUGGAAAACGUUAUGGCAAUGGUAUAAAAGUGAAGGAUUGAUGCACGUGAAGAGCAACUAAUCAACUAUCUUCUUCCAAUAAAGGGAGGAAGGAGAUAGCAAGAAAUACAGGGUUGAUUGAUUAGUUCGGUGAAAAAAACCAACAAAUAAAAUGGGUCGCGGGGUGAUGUUCAUGUUGAUGCUAUGCAUCUUGGGGGUUGCCGUGAUGGGUGAAGACCCUUACAUUUUCUACACAUGGAAUGUCACCUAUGGUACCAUUUCUCCACUUGGAGUCCCUCAGCAGGGUAUCCUCAUUAACGGCCAGUUCCCUGGACCAGAAAUCAACAGCACCAGCAACAACAAUGUGGUGGUGAAUGUGUUCAACAACCUCGACGAGCCCCUCCAAUUCACCUGGCACGGGGUCCAGCAGAGGAAGAACUCGUGGCAAGAUGGUAAAUGCUUAGUGGAUACAUAGAUUUCAUAGCCUUUCAUGUUUAUAGUCAUAUAAACUUCAUCUCUAAUUAUUACUAACUUUUAUUUCUAAAGGUGUCGCGGGAACCUCAUGCCCUAUCCUUCCCGGCACGAACUACACCUACCAUUUCCAGGUGAAGGAUCAGAUCGGAAGCUACUUCUACUACCCAACCACAGCCUUGCAUAGAGCCGCUGGUGGGUUCGGUGGCCUAAGGAUCUUUAGCCGAUUAUUGAUCCCUGUCCCAUACCCCGACCCCGAGGAUGAGUACUGGGUCAUCAUUGGUGACUGGUAUGCUAAGAGCCACAAAACCCUCAAAAGUCUCCUUGACAGUGGUCGCUCAAUUGGAAGGCCUAAUGGUGUUCUUAUCAAUGGCAAAACUGCCAAGGGUGAUGGAAGUGACCAGCCUCUCUACACAAUGAAGCCUGGAAAAACCUACAAGUACAGAAUCUGUAAUGUUGGUCUCAAGGACUCCCUCAACUUCAGGAUCCAAGGCCACCCCAUGAAGCUGGUCGAGACAGAAGGCUCCCACGUUGUCCAGAACACCUAUGACUCCCUCGAUGUCCACGUGGGUCAGUGCUACACUGUCCUCGUGACCGCCGAUAAGGACCCCAAGGACUAUUACUUGGUGGCCUCCACUCGUUUCACCAAGUACUCACUCACCGAAAAGGGAAUCAUCCGCUACACCAACGGCGUGGGACCUGCUUCACCUGAGCUCCCUCCUGCACCUGUUGGUUGGGCAUGGUCUUUGAACCAAUUCCGAUCCUUCCGGUGGAACCUCACCGCUAGUGCCGCCAGGCCUAACCCUCAGGGUUCUUACCAUUACGGUCAAAUCAACAUCACCCGCACCAUCAAGCUCGUUAACACUGUCUCCAAAGCUCAAGGCAAGCUCCGAUACGCAAUCAAUGGUGUCUCCCACGUCGAUGGUGAGACUCCUCUCAAGCUCGCCGAGUAUUUUGGUGUUGCUGACAAGGUUUUCAAGUACAACAUCAUCUCCGAUGAACCCCCAGCAGAUUUGAACACCAUCACCUUGGCACCCAAUGUCGUGAAUGCUACAUUCAGAACCUUCAUUGAGAUCAUCUUUGAGAACCCUGGCAAAACCGUCCAGUCAUACAACCUUGAUGGUUACUCAUUCUUUUUAGUCGCGUAAGUACUUGUUAUCCCCACUCAUGAGGAAAUUUAAUUAAAUACUUAAUUUUUAUAUGUUUUGUUUUAUAUCCUAUAAUCUACAGGGUAGAACCAGGGAAGUGGACCCCAGAGAAGAGGAAGAACUACAACCUUCUUGAUACCGUGAGCAGACACACCGUUCAAGUUUUCCCCAAAUCUUGGGCAGCUAUCAUGUUGACAUUCGACAAUGCUGGCAUGUGGAACUUGAGGUCGGAGCAUGCUGAGAAUCGUUACUUGGGCCAACAACUCUACAUUAGUGUUUUGUCCCCAGAACGUUCUCUAAGGGAUGAGUACAACAUUCUUGACUCUCAGCUUCUUUGCGGCAUCGUCAAGGACUUGCCCAGGCCACGACCAUAUGUCUAGAGUUGCCUUUUUUCCGUGCCAUACGGCUCUUAUUAAUUAAGAUGAUAUGAUAGAUUUGUUACAUGACUUUUCGGUCACUGAUGUAUCAACCCUUUCUUGAGUUCAAUUCAUUUUCCCUUUAUCAAUAUAGGUUAAUUUCUCCUUCACAGUUUCUUCCUAGUAUUACUUUGAAUUUUGAUAAAUUUAUCAUUUACAUGUCACUAAAAUUAAAUUUUACUCAAUCUAUCUAUAUAUAUAUAUAUAUAAAGCACAAUUGAGUUUUUGCAUUAAAUACAUAAGCAAAACUCAAGUGUGUAUUAAAAGCAACCAAAAAAAUAAAAAACUUUGUAAUAAAUAUAAUAAACAAUAAUAAAACUAAAAUUAAAAUAAUAUAUAUUGUAAAAAACUAUUCAACUACUACCAUUAAAUAAAAACAUUCAUAAACUUAAAAUUUCCUUGACUUUUGUAUUUUACAAAUAUUAAAAAUUAAAUUAAAUAAGAAAAUAAUAUUUAUUAGCAAAUAAUUUACAUAAAAUAAUUUUAAAAUUCAAAAAAUUCUAUCUAUAUAUAUAUAUAUGUAAAGGAGACUUGAGUUUUUUCCAUUAAAUAUAUCAAACAAUUCCUACCUCUACAUUAAAAUACAUUAAAAAUAAAGAAUUUCAUUUGCAAUAAAUAUAUCUAUCUAUCUAUACUAUAUAUAAAAGCAAAGUUUUUGCAAUCUAGAGGGUAAUUCUGUCAUUCAAUAUCCAUUACAUUGCAAUAUGAUUUUCAGCAUGGGUAUUUUAGUAAAAAAUAUAUAUUAUUGUUCAAAGAUUCAAUCUCAGCCGUUAUUCUGCCUUUUAUCCUCCCAAAUCAGUUUCAAUCUCACUGCCGUUAUAUCUCCCAAAUCACAAAUUUCCGUUAUUCUUUCCCAGUCCAAAUUAUACUCCCUCACAUUCACCGUUCACUUUCGGAGUUUCAGACUGUUCUCUGCUACGCUCCUUCUC